CGUUGAUUACGUCCCUGCCCUUUGUACACACCGCCCGUCGCUACUACCGAUUGAAUGGCUUAGUGGGCCCCUCGGAUUGGAGUUUGGCAGCUGGCAACAGCAGCCGAUCGCUGAAAAGUUGGGCAAACUUGGUCAUUUAGAGGAAGUAAAAGUCGUAACAAGG
RNAcentral lists this ribosomal RNA (163 nucleotides) under Basidiobolaceae sp. Its description in RNAcentral is "partial small subunit ribosomal RNA". It matches the Rfam family "Eukaryotic small subunit ribosomal RNA", at positions 1639 to 1799 of the family's 1831-position model. Lineage: Eukaryota; Fungi; Basidiobolomycota; Basidiobolomycetes; Basidiobolales; Basidiobolaceae. The record is from RNAcentral.